RNAcentral lists this long non-coding RNA (222 nucleotides) under Spirodela polyrhiza (greater duckweed). RNAcentral's name for it is "long non-coding RNA (SPOL_LNC002231)". Lineage: Eukaryota; Viridiplantae; Streptophyta; Magnoliopsida; Alismatales; Araceae. The record is from RNAcentral.
GGCGCCAUGCCAAGAUCUUCAUGGGUGGUGAGUGAAGGCUUUGACACGAAUUAAGAAGAGUGGAGCCCCAUGAUUUCUUGCGAGCAUGCUCGGGUUGACCGUGAUGAGAGGAAGUCGCAUACCUCUUACGUGCAACCGACCACCCCCCAUUACUUCCAUAAGCGUUAUGAGCGUCAGAAUGUUUGAGCCAGGAAAGAAAGAGUGCCGCGGUCAGAGUGUUUG